UUCAAAUUAAUUUCAACUGCUUAUAUGUUUAAUUGCUUUUACCAGCUUUCUGAAUCAACGAUUGCCCAUGUGACUGUUGAAUAUAAUUGUCAGAAGAACUUUUAGAUGUUAGAAACGAUUCUAUUUUACAGACUCUCCAGCUUAUAUAUUGAUUUACGAAAACGAUUCCAUGCGAGGAAAAGAUUCUGUGUAUAAAUGUUAUCCAUUACAUUCUAAGAGUGUAUAAAAGUGCGAGAACGAAUUUCAAAUUAACGAAUUAUUUUGUAAGAGAGAUGAGAAGGAGUGGAGAUCGAAUACGCUUCGUGUCAGAAUGUCGUCGCUAUCAAUGUUCUGUUUAUCUUUCAAAUGACUAUAAAUCACGGCGUUGACGGAUCGUUGGAAAAAAAAAAAAAAGAAAAAAGAAAAAAAAACAAAACAAAAUGAGCAG
Molecule: long non-coding RNA, 427 nt
Organism: Vespa crabro (European hornet)
Lineage: Eukaryota; Metazoa; Arthropoda; Insecta; Hymenoptera; Vespidae
Exons: 2
Source: RefSeq, a predicted model, not a curated record